AUGAGGGCUUGCUUCCKCACACAGACUAAAAUUGGAAGGAUACARAGACCCCUACGUAAAGAUCACAUGAAAAUUCGUGAAGCAUUCCAUAUUUUU
This is a small nuclear RNA of Urocitellus parryii (Arctic ground squirrel), 96 nucleotides long. Lineage: Eukaryota; Metazoa; Chordata; Mammalia; Rodentia; Sciuridae. The record is from Ensembl.